ACGCAGCCAUGUGGUGAGCACA
RNAcentral lists this non-coding RNA (22 nucleotides) under Arabidopsis thaliana (thale cress). Lineage: Eukaryota; Viridiplantae; Streptophyta; Magnoliopsida; Brassicales; Brassicaceae. The record is from RNAcentral.